UUUGAUGCUUGUAGCAGUUGCAUAUUUGUUACAGGUAUCAAAUACUUUGAAUCCGAACUCGAAGAAUGUAUGCCCUGAAAAGUUGCCACCAAUAAAUGAUGAAUUUCGAAACAUUUCAAAGGAUGCGUUUGGAGUAAAAUGCUGUCCAAACUUCUUUGAAAAAAACGGCAUGUGUGAACCAUGUCCAGCGGGAACUUUCGGAAAGUCCUGUAUAAAUCAGUGUUUACCGGGUUCUUAUGGAAUGCUAUGCAAAGCUAAAUGCAAUUGUAGUUCAGUCCAAGAAUGUCACAAUAUCUUUGGAUGUGUUUGUAGAACAGGUCAUAGAGGAGACAAUUGUG
This is a long non-coding RNA of Mytilus trossulus (common blue mussel), 338 nucleotides long. RefSeq lists it as uncharacterized. The record is from RefSeq and is a predicted model, not a curated record. NCBI's taxonomy places the organism in Eukaryota, Metazoa, Mollusca, Bivalvia, Mytilida, Mytilidae. The transcript has 3 exons.